RNAcentral lists this ribosomal RNA (164 nucleotides) under uncultured Shigella sp. RNAcentral describes it as "partial 16S ribosomal RNA". It matches the Rfam family "Bacterial small subunit ribosomal RNA", at positions 374 to 526 of the family's 1533-position model. Lineage: Bacteria; Pseudomonadati; Pseudomonadota; Gammaproteobacteria; Enterobacterales; Enterobacteriaceae. The record is from RNAcentral.
AGACAAGUCUUGAUGGCAGCAACUGCCGCGUGAGUGAUGAAGGCCUUCGGAUCUGUAAAACUACUUUUGUCGGGGAGGAAGGGAGUAAAGUUAAUACGUUUGCUCCUUGACGGUACCCGAAUAAAAAGCCCCGGCUAACUCCGUGCCAGCAGCCGCGGUAAUAA